GACGAACGCUGGCGGCGUGCUUAACACAUGCAAGUCGAACGGAAAGGCCCUGCUUUUGUGGGGUGCUCGAGUGGCGAACGGGUGAGUAACACGUGAGUAACCUGCCCUUGACUUUGGGAUAACUUCAGGAAACUGGGGCUAAUCCCGGAUAGGAGCUCCUGCCGCAUGGUGGGGGUUGGAAAGUUUCGGCGGUUGGGGAUGGACUCGCGGCUUAUCAGCUUGUUGGUUGGGUAGUGGCUUACCAAGGCCUUGACGGGUAGCCGGGCUGAGAGGGGGACCGGCCACAUUGGGACUGAGAUGCGGCCCAGACUCCUACGGGAGGCAGCAGUGGGGAAUAUUGCACUAUGGGCGGAAGCCUGAUGCAGCAACGCCGCGUGGGGGAUGACGGGCUUCGGGUUGUAAACCGCUUUCGCCUGUGACGAAGCGUGAGUGACGGUAAUGGGUAAAGAAGCACCGGCUAACUACGUG
RNAcentral lists this ribosomal RNA (468 nucleotides) under uncultured bacterium. Its description in RNAcentral is "partial 16S ribosomal RNA". It matches the Rfam family "Bacterial small subunit ribosomal RNA", at positions 28 to 507 of the family's 1533-position model. The record is from RNAcentral.